This is a long non-coding RNA of Heterocephalus glaber (naked mole-rat), 2170 nucleotides long. NCBI's taxonomy places the organism in Eukaryota, Metazoa, Chordata, Mammalia, Rodentia, Bathyergidae. The record is from Ensembl.
UCCCUGUCUGCUUCAACACCCCAUACUUCUCUCCCUACACAAUUCUGGCCAGCCUGGCUCGUCGUGCACACACCUCACUGCUCCUUCAGGCCUGGCAUGUUCGCGCUCCUCUCACCCUGCGCUCCCAGCCCAUGACACAAACACCUCUCCACUUAAGCGUCACAUCCUCAGGAAGGUCAUGAGGCCUGCAGCUGCCCCUCCAAAGCCAUGCUAACGAGUUUAUCAGGCGGGCAUCUCAUACACCGUGUCUCGGCGGCCCGCCCCGCUCACCUCUGAACAUUGGGUUGCUCUCGGGGGUGCUGGCCACGUUGAAGGCGAACGGUGUGCUCUGGCCAGCCACGCCCAGGCUGCUCUGAGUCAGGGCCCCACCAAAGGGGGUGGUGGCGCCCGUGGUCCCACUCUGUCCGGCUCCAAAACUGAAUGCUCCUGAGGUGGAGCUGGUGCCUGGGGCAGCCACCCCAAGCCCGAAGCCCCCCACUGCUGCUAGCCACGGCCCCUGACACCCCGAAGGUGAAAGGGGAUGGCACAGAGCUGCUGAACACAGAGCUGCUGGUCCCACUGCUGGUGGUCUGGGUGGUAGCUCCGAAGCCCGAGGUGGUGGCCACACCGAAGGAGAAAACUGCCGUGGAGCUGCCGAAGGCUGGCUGUGUGCUGGCAGGGGUGCCAAACGCAGAGGCUGUGGCUUUCAAACUGCCAAACGCUGACUGCGUAGAGCCGCCAAAGGCAGGCUGGGCAGAGGCCAGGGCCAGGGCCGGGACCGGAGCCGGGGUGGGGGCCGGGGCCGCAGAGUUCCCAAAAGUGAAAGAGCUGCCAAAGCUGGGAGCGAGGGCUGGCGCAGUGGACCCCUGCUGCUGCCCAUCCACAGCCCCGAAGGUGGGCUGAGAGUUGGCCCCUGGGUACGGCGGGGGUAGGACAGGGGGCUUGGUGCCCGAACUGAAGGGAAUGUUGAAUGCUGGGGUGGCUGUGUGACUGAACGUCAGCGUGGACUGGCUGGUGGUGACCGGGGCUGGGGUGGUGAGGGCACUGCUGAAGCCACUAAAGCCAGCAGUGCUGCUGCCGCUGCUGCUGCUGGCGGCUGUCUGAGCAGUGCCAGGAAGGGACUGGCCAAAGCUAGUGACAGCCGUGGACUCAGGCAUGGCGGGAGACUUGCCGAACUGGAAAAUGGAGGGCAUGGCUGGGGUGAAGCUGGCGGCAGAGGUGGGAAGGGCCCCAAGAGGAAAGGCUGAGCAGUGGAAGCAGUGGUGCUAGUCGUGCUGCUCAGGGUGCUGGCCUCGCUGUUCGUCCCAAAGCUGAAAGUGAGCUUCAAAGUAGAGUCUGUGGAGGUACUGGCUGUGGUGACAGAAGCCACCGUGGAGGCAGCGGUGGACAGGGCAGGGAAGAGAGAGGCGGUUGUGGCCGCAGUAGUGACUGGAGCAGGUGUUGGCUUGAAGAAGGGAGCUGACAAGGGGACAGAUGUAGGUGGCCCCAUGUUGUCAAAGAUGGGCUUGAAGGUUGGGGUUGCAGUGCUGGUUGUGGCGGGGAGGGUGGCGCUGGAGGAGGUGGUUGCUGUGAGGUGGGUGCCAGACAGCAAGGGCCCAUCACUCUCAACUUUAGGUGGUGGCUCAAAAAUGGGCUUGAACAUGGGAGAAGCAGAAGACAGGCUGGGAGUGGCGGCGGCGGCGGUGGUGGCAGCAGGGGUGGUGGGGGGGGUGGCAGGGCUGGAAGGCAGGGGGCUCAGCAUCUCAAAUGGUGCGCUCUGCUUGGGAGCAGGAGCAGGAGCCGGGCCGGGGGGCGUGGGGACUUUGGCACGUGUCUCAGCCUGAGCGACUGGAGGUGGCUUGGUGUCGGUGACUGGGGCUGUGGAGACAGCAGGGGCCAGCCCCAGGAGGGUGGCUGUGGGUUUUGUGUCUGAAGAGGCGCCUGGCAGGGGUCCGGAUAGGGAAGAAGCUACAGGGGCCAAGAGGCCGGCUGUCUUCAGAGGGGUAGAGGCCAUGGAGGCUGCCACUCCUGCAGGUUCUGGGAAGGAGAGGAAAAAAGGUGAGUUCCAAAGACUUCUACAGGGUGGUGUGCAACAUGUGUGCCCUCCCAGAGCCACCACUGUGCUGGGGAUCCAAGAGCCAGUCGGGAAACUGAGCAAGUCUAUGUCACAGACCCGCAAAGGCCAUCAAGGAGGCAUUCCUACUUCCACAGA